UGCGUAGGUGGUUGUUUAAGUCUGUCGUGAAAGCCCUGGGCUCAACCUGGGAAUUGCGAUGGAAACUGGGCGACUAGAGUGUGGUAGAGGACAGUGGAAUUUCCGGUGUAGCAGUGAAAUGCGUAGAGAUCGGAAGGAACAUCUGUGGCGAAGGCGACUGUCUGGGCCAACACUGACACUGAGGCACGAAAGCGUGGGGAGCAAACA
This 207-nucleotide ribosomal RNA is filed under the name uncultured bacterium. Its description in RNAcentral is "partial 16S ribosomal RNA". It matches the Rfam family "Bacterial small subunit ribosomal RNA", at positions 568 to 774 of the family's 1533-position model. The record is from RNAcentral.